GCACCCAAUUCCACCACAGAGUCGGGAUUUCGUCGGUGAUCGUGAUGGGGUGCUUUUAUUUUUCUCUUUGAUUUUCAAAAAAUGUCUAUGUGACUGUCCCUAUCUUAAGGGGAAGUUGAAAGUGGGGGCGGGGGUGCUCAAUGAGAAACGUUGCCUUGUGUGUAGUUGUUUGGAGCACACUGCAAAUUAUAUUGGCAUCUCUUUCCAAAAGUCACUUUGAUUCAACUUCGAUAGCUUUCUCGUAAAUGGCACGUUUAGGUGGUGAGAGGUGGAUGAGGAAACAGGCACCAGUGCAGCUGAUUUGACCUCCAGUGGGAUAGAUACGAUUAGCACCAGGAUCGUGUCUCAUUUUGAACCCAGGUUUGUUAUUUUAUUCAGCCAUACCGUUGUUUUCCAAUUUUCCUGUCCCCCAAGUAGAUCUUGCAUCUUCAUAUCCGGGAUGAAGAAGUUGUGUAGGAUAAACUUGGUUGUUUCACUUUCCUUACUAAAUUUAGGUACAUUCUCCCUGUUUUCCCCCAGUUCUUUCAAAGAGGAGAAGUUGCAGAUGCAAAUGUAUUAAAGUGAAGUGUGUUUAACCUCUAGCAAGAAAUAUGUACAAUUUUAGUCAUAUUAUGUGAGACCAGUGACUUCAAUAAUACCAUUACAGUGCUCUCAAGAAUUAGUGCUCAAGAACUUGACUUUUGUCACAAAGACAAAAAUUACUUUACAUGAAGAUUCUGAGAUGUGACUUGCUCUCCCCUAAGGUAUGAAGUUUCCGACUUUGAAAAAAUACUGACCUAAACGCUGGCUGUAGGUGGGCAUCAUCAGACCCUGUUCAUUUCCUUGGUUUUAGGAGACAGGGCACUCUAAGAGAAGAAUUGUUUUAAAUCUUAAGUACUACAGAUUGUAAACUGAAAUUGUCAAUUGAUUGGGGUUCACAAUACCAAGUUGCAUUUUGGUGGGGAUAGUUAUUGUUUAGAAAGUAAUUGUCGGCCGGGCGCGGUGGCUCACGCCUGUAAUCCCAGCACUUUGGGAGGCCGAGGCGGGAGGAUCACGAGGUCAAGAGAUCGAGACCAUCCCGGCUAAAACGGUGAAACCCCGUCUCUACUAAAAAAAAAUACAAAAAAUUAGCCGGGCGUAGUGGCGGGCGCCUGUAGUCCCAGCUACUUGGGAGGCUGAGGCAAGAGAAUUGCUUGAACCCGGGAAGCAAAGGUUGCGUGAGCCAAGAUUGCGCCACUGCACUCCAGCCUGGGCAACAGAGCAAGACUCCGUCUCAAAAAAAAAAAAAAAAAAAAAAAG
This 1278-nucleotide long non-coding RNA is filed under the name Homo sapiens (human). RNAcentral's name for it is "HSALNT0312151". The record is from RNAcentral. Lineage: Eukaryota; Metazoa; Chordata; Mammalia; Primates; Hominidae.